This 394-nucleotide ribosomal RNA is filed under the name uncultured bacterium. RNAcentral describes it as "bacterial SSU rRNA". It matches the Rfam family "Bacterial small subunit ribosomal RNA", at positions 505 to 898 of the family's 1533-position model. The record is from RNAcentral.
GUGCCAGCAGCCGCGGUAAUACGAAGGGGGCGAGCGUUGUUCGGAUUUACUGGGCGUAAAGGGCGCGUAGGCGGCAGAUCAAGUCAGGCGUGAAAGCCCCGGGCUCAACCUGGGAAUUGCGCUUGGGACUGGUUUGCUAGAGUUCGGGAGAGGAGAGUGGAAUUCCCAGUGUAGAGGUGAAAUUCGUAGAUAUUGGGAAGAACACCGGUGGCGAAGGCGGCUCUCUGGACCGAGACUGACGCUGAGGCGCGAAAGCGUGGGGAGCAAACAGGAUUAGAUACCCUGGUAGUCCACGCCGUAAACGAUGUGUGCUAGACGUUGGGGAGCCUAGCUCUUCGGUGUCGCAGCUAACGCGGUAAGCACACCGCCUGGGGAGUACGGCCGCAAGGUUAAA